CAUCCCUUUCCCUUCCUCUUUUCUUGCUUGAGAGUCUUAAUUGUAAAGUGAGAGAGCACCAAAGAGGCACCAGAGGCCCCGCUGUUGGAGUCUUGGAGACAUCCCUCUGUUUUCUCUGUCAGAGCAAGCACCCACCUCCAUCCCCAGCAUCCAGGGCUUUGAAGUGGGACCUACCAGUUCACAGGGCCCUUCUCCUCACUCUCCAUGGACAAGAUACUUGCACUGGAUUCCACUGUCAAGCCUCUCUGACUUUGCAAGGAUGAGGGACAAAUAGUUGGAAGGAGGAGUGAGGUGCAUGCCUUUGAGUGUGGACCAGGCCAUGUAACUUCUUUUGGCGAGCAGAAUGAGGUAGAAACACGCCAUUUCUGAGGCCUGGCCUCCAGACAUGUUGUAUGCCUCCCUUUGUACCCUGUGCCUCUGCCAUUGCCAUGAUCAAGGCACACCCACGUUGGCCCCGUGGUCUCAGGAGGAAAAGAGAUUUGUGGAGAGCCAAACCACUGCAGCAAAGCCCAGCCAGAACCAGCCAAACCCAGUUGACCCCAGAUGGGCACACAGUGAGAGAGAGAGAAGCAGGCUUCAUGCACCGGGAGCCUGACGUGGGAU
Canis lupus familiaris (dog) is the source of this 603-nucleotide long non-coding RNA. RefSeq lists it as uncharacterized. The record is from RefSeq and is a predicted model, not a curated record. The transcript has 5 exons. NCBI's taxonomy places the organism in Eukaryota, Metazoa, Chordata, Mammalia, Carnivora, Canidae.